CGAGUCCUGCCGCCGAUCCACAGACACGAAGAGAUGGCAGGAGCGGGGGAACCACGUUUUCCGGCGCGCACCGCGCACGGUUCGGGAGUCGGCCGGCUUCCGAAACGGGUGACAGGGGGCGCGUCUUGGGGUGAAGCCGCAUAGGACGGCCGGGCCACUCUGCCCGAACCCGACAGCUCACCUCGUAGGCGUGGAGGAAUUUCCAU
RNAcentral lists this small RNA (206 nucleotides) under Actinoplanes awajinensis. RNAcentral's name for it is "c-di-AMP sequence". It matches the Rfam family "c-di-AMP riboswitch aptamer (ydaO/yuaA leader)". From Rfam's summary of the family: This family represents a conserved RNA structure found upstream of the ydaO and yuaA genes in Bacillus subtilis and related genes in other bacteria. The ydaO/yuaA element is thought to act as a genetic "off" switch for the ydaO and yuaA genes in its native state. RNAcentral also lists the same sequence under 1 other name. Lineage: Bacteria; Bacillati; Actinomycetota; Actinomycetes; Micromonosporales; Micromonosporaceae. The record is from RNAcentral.